AUGUUCCUGGGUAACCCAAUUCCUCUUGACGCUUCUGUCUCUAGCAGACUCUAUCGUCAUCAACAAUUGUCCGAACUUGCUUCUCAUGUUCCUCUUGGUGUUCUUCCUUCAUUGGCUCCUUCUCCUCGUAAGGAAUUUGGGUCCUUUUCACUUCAGUCUCUUCUCCUUGACCUCACUGGCAAUAAUUG
Molecule: non-coding RNA, 188 nt
Organism: Vicia faba (fava bean)
Lineage: Eukaryota; Viridiplantae; Streptophyta; Magnoliopsida; Fabales; Fabaceae
Source: the annotation of a GenBank genome assembly